Small nuclear RNA from Loxodonta africana (African savanna elephant), 106 nucleotides. The record is from Ensembl. NCBI's taxonomy places the organism in Eukaryota, Metazoa, Chordata, Mammalia, Proboscidea, Elephantidae.
AAAAGAGUACUUGCUUUGGCACUAAAAAAUUGGAACAAUACAGAGAAGAUUAGCAUUGUCCCUAAGCAAGGAUGACACACAAAUUCUUGAAGUGUUCCGUAUUUUC